RNAcentral lists this ribosomal RNA (253 nucleotides) under uncultured bacterium. RNAcentral's name for it is "partial 16S ribosomal RNA". It matches the Rfam family "Bacterial small subunit ribosomal RNA", at positions 524 to 776 of the family's 1533-position model. The record is from RNAcentral.
UACGUAGGGUGCAAGCGUUAAUCGGAAUUACUGGGCGUAAAGCGUGCGCAGGCGGUUUUGUAAGUCUGUCGUGAAAGCCCCGGGCUCAACCUGGGAAUUGCGAUGGAGACUGCAAGGCUUGAAUCUGGCAGAGGGGGGUAGAAUUCCACGUGUAGCAGUGAAAUGCGUAGAGAUGUGGAGGAACACCGAUGGCGAAGGCAGCCCCCUGGGUCAAGAUUAACGCUCAUGCACGAAAGCGUGGGGAGCAAACAGG